RNAcentral lists this unclassified non-coding RNA (263 nucleotides) under plant metagenome. RNAcentral describes it as "partial contains small subunit ribosomal RNA, internal transcribed spacer 1, and 5.8S ribosomal RNA". The record is from RNAcentral.
UUUCCGUAGGUGAACCUGCGGAAGGAUCAUUAUUGUAUAACCGAGGGGCGGGGGCUGUCGCUGACCCGAAAGGUCGUGCACGCCCGAGUGCCCUCACACACAUCCAUCUCACCCCUAUGUGCACCACCGCGUGGGUCCCCCUUUGGCUUGUUCGGAGGGGGGCUUACGUUUUCACACAAACUUUGUAUGCAGUGUAGAAUGUAUUUUUUGUUUUUGCGAUCACGCAAUCAAUACAACUUUCAACAACGGAUCUCUUGGCUCUC